Molecule: ribosomal RNA, 99 nt
Filed under: Chloroflexota bacterium
Lineage: Bacteria; Bacillati; Chloroflexota
Source: RNAcentral
CGGGGGCACACCCGGUCCCAUCUCGAACCCGGCAGUUAAGCCCGCCAGCGCCGAUGGUAGUUUGGGGAUUCCCCACGCGAGAGUAGGCCAUCGCCAACA